Molecule: long non-coding RNA, 206 nt
Filed under: Manihot esculenta (cassava)
Lineage: Eukaryota; Viridiplantae; Streptophyta; Magnoliopsida; Malpighiales; Euphorbiaceae
Description: long non-coding RNA (MESC_LNC006559)
Source: RNAcentral
UUAAAAUAAACAACGAGAGUAGGAAAAUGAAGAUUAAGAGACUGUCAAGAUAUUCUUACACCAGCUGGGUCUUUCUUUUCAGCUGGGUUACUGUAAAUCUCCAGCUUUCUUUUUCGUGUAAGCUUUCUUUUUUGUAUUGUCUCCCUGUCGCCCCGAUGCUUUCCAUCUGUCCUGAAAUGCGACUCCAACCUCGACCACGAAUCNNN